Molecule: ribosomal RNA, 1794 nt
Filed under: Triticum aestivum (bread wheat)
Lineage: Eukaryota; Viridiplantae; Streptophyta; Magnoliopsida; Poales; Poaceae
Description: partial small subunit ribosomal RNA
Source: RNAcentral
AUGCCACCCGCGCCGGCGACGGCCACGGCGGCGGCGGCGGUGCUGCACCUGGAGCCCUUCCUCCCUUGCCUGACCACGUUCUCACACUACAAGCAGUUCCACGCGCAGCUCAUCACCUCGGCCCGCCUCUACUUUGAGCCCUCCCUCCGAGCCCGCUUCCUCGACCGCCUCGCGCUCUCCGCGCACGCCGCGGCGCUGCCGCACGCCCUCCUCCUCCUCCGCUCCCUCCCGUCCCCCGCCACCAACGACCUCAACGCCGCCCUCCGGGGCCUCGCCGCCUCCCCGCACCCCGCGCGCUCGCUGCUCCUCCUCGCCGGCCGCCUCCUCCCCUCGCCGUCCCCGCCGCGGCCCCGCCUCGACGCGCUCUCCCUCUCCUUCGCGCUGAAGGCCUCCGCCCGGUGCUCCGACGGGCCCGCCACCCUCCAGCUCCACGCGCUCGUCCUCUGCCUCGGCUGCACGGCCGACGUCCGGCUGAUCACCACGCUGGUCGACUCGUAUGCGAAAUGCGACGACCUCGCGUCCGCACGGAACGUGUUCGAUGGAAUGACCGUGCGCGACGUGGCCUCGUGGAAUGCACUGCUUGCUGGGCUGGCUCAGGGGACUGAGCCUACCCUGGCCCUGAAGCUGUUCCACAGACUGGUAGGGAGCUUCCGGGAGCUGCCACCAAGGGAGGCACCCAAUGAGGUGACCAUGGUUGCCGCGCUUUCUGCGUGUGCACAGAUUGGCUCGUUACAGGACGGGUUGUAUGUGCAUGAGUUUGUUCGCAAAAUGGGCGUCAGCGGCAAUGUUCGUGUUUGCAAUGCACUUAUUGACAUGUACUCCAAGUGCGGUUCAUUGGCCCGGGCGCUGGAAGUGUUCCACUCCAUCAAACGAGAAGACCGGACACUUGUGUCAUACAAUACUGCGAUACAAGCAAUUUCCAUGCAUGGGCAUGGGGGUGACGCACUAAAGUUGUUUGAUGAAAUGCCGACAUCUAUUGAGCCGGACGAAGUGACCUACAUCGCUGUGUUGUGCGGAUGCAACCAUGCUGGGCUCGUGGAUGAUGGCCUCAGGGUUUUUCAUGGCAUGAGGGUUCCUCCCAAUGUAAAGCACUACGGCACUGUUGUGGACCUUCUUGGCCGUGCAGGCCGCCUUGCCGAGGCAUAUGAUACCAUUAAGUCCAUGCCGUUUCCUGCAGAUAUUGUCCUCUGGCAGACAUUGCUGGGUGCGUCCAAGACGCAUGGUGAUGUUGAGCUCGCGGAGUUAGCUGCUACAAAGCUUGCCGAGCUUGGUUCAAAUGUUGAUGGUGACUAUGUGCUCCUCUCUAAUGUAUAUGCGUCAAAGGCACGGUGGGCAGAUGUUGGUCGAGUCCGUGAUACCAUGCGAAGCAAUGAUGUGCGGAAAGUACCUGGCUUCAGCUACACAGAGAUAAGUGGUGUAAUGCAUAAGUUCAUUAAUGGUGAUAAAGAGCACCCAAGGUUGCAGGAGAUUUACAGAGCGCUAGAGGAAAUUGUAUCAAGAAUAGGUGAGCUGGGAUAUGAGCCAGAAACAAGUAAUGUGCUUCAUGACAUCGGGGAGGAGGAGAAGCAGUAUGCAUUGUCUUAUCAUAGCGAAAAGCUGGCCAUUGCAUUUGGGCUGAUUGCCACGCCACCUGGGGAGACCUUGCGGGUGAUAAAAAAUCUCCGAAUAUGUGGGGACUGUCAUGUAGUGGCAAAACUCAUAUCUAAAGCCUAUGGCCGAGUGAUUAUAAUCAGGGAUAGAGCAAGAUUCCAUCGGUUUGAAGAUGGGCAGUGCUCUUGCGGCGAUUACUGGUAA